GAUUAGUGGCGCACGGGUGAGUAACGCAUAGGUCAUGUGCCUCUUAGUUUGGGAUAGCCAUUGGAAACGAUGAUUAAUACCAGAUACUCCCUACGGGGGAAAGAUUUAUCGCUAAGAGAUCAGCCUAUGUCCUAUCAGCUUGUUGGUAAGGUAAUGGCUUACCAAGGCUAUGACGGGUAUCCGGCCUGAGAGGGUGAACGGACACACUGGAACUGAGACACGGUCCAGACUCCUACGGGAGGCAGCAGUAGGGAAUAUUGCUCAAUGGGGGAAACCCUGAAGCAGCAACGCCGCGUGGAGGAUGAAGGUUUUAGGAUUGUAAACUCCUUUUGUUAGAGAAGAUAAUGACGGUAUCUAACGAAUAAGCACCGGCUAACUCCGUGCCAGCAGCCGCGGUAAUACGGAGGGUGCAAGCGUUACUCGGAAUCACUGGGCGUAAAGAGCGCGUAGGCGGGAUAGUCAGUCAGGUGUGAAAUCCUAUGGCUUAACCAUAGAACUGCAUUUGAAACUACUAUUCUAGAGUGUGGGAGAGGUAGGUGGAAUUCUUGGUGUAGGGGUAAAAUCCGUAGAGAUCAAGAGGAAUACUCAUUGCGAAGGCGACCUGCUGGAACAUUACUGACGCUGAUUGCGCGAAAGCGUGGGGAGCAAACAGGAUUAGAUACCCUGGUAGUCCACGCCCUAAACGAUGGAUGCUAGUUGUUGGAGGGCUUAGUCUCUCCAGUAAUGCAGCUAACGCAUUAAGCAUCCCGCCUGGGGAGUACGGUCGCAAGAUUAAAACUCAAAGGAAUAGACGGGGACCCGCACAAGCGGUGGAGCAUGUGGUUUAAUUCGAAGAUACACGAAGAACCUUACCUAGGCUUGACAUUGAGAGAAUCCGCUAGAAAUAGUGGAGUGUCUGGCUUGCCAGACCUUGAAAACAGGUGCUGCACGGCUGUCGUCAGCUCGUGUCGUGAGAUGUUGGGUUAAGUCCCGCAACGAGCGCAACCCCCUUUCUUAGUUGCUAACAGGUCAUGCUGAGAACUCUAAGGAUACUGCCUCCGUAAGGAGGAGGAAGGUGGGGACGACGUCAAGUCAUCAUGGCCCUUACGCCUAGGGCUACACACGUGCUACAAUGGGGUGCACAAAGAGAAGCAAUACUGCGAAGUGGAGCCAAUCUUCAAAACAUCUCUCAGUUCGGAUUGUAGGCUGCAACUCGCCUGCAUGAAGCUGGAAUCGCUAGUAAUCGCAAAUCAGCCAUGUUGCGGUGAAUACGUUCCCGGGUCUUGUACUCACCGCCCGUCACACCAUGGGAGUUGUGUUUGCCUUAAGUCAGGAUGCUAAAUUAGCUACUGCCCACGGCACACACAGCGACUGGGGUGAAGUCGUAACAAGGUAACCGUAGGUGAACCUGCGGUUGGAUCACCUCCUUUCUAGA
This 1414-nucleotide ribosomal RNA is filed under the name Helicobacter pylori. RNAcentral's name for it is "bacterial SSU rRNA". It matches the Rfam family "Bacterial small subunit ribosomal RNA". Lineage: Bacteria; Pseudomonadati; Campylobacterota; Epsilonproteobacteria; Campylobacterales; Helicobacteraceae. The record is from RNAcentral.